ACACGACGUUAAUGAAACAAAAGUUCCAAUACAGUUAACUCAGAAAACGUUGCUACAAUUACUCAAAAGCUGCUGGGCAUUUCCUUUUCUAUCCAUGUGAAAAAAUGAUGGGCAUCAUAAUUAUGAGGGACCAAAACAUCGGUUGGAGUCAUGAAUGAUUGCCACCAGUAAAAGCAUAUUCAAGUGUUCAAUUUCAACCAGCCUAAAAAGUGUGAUCCUAACAUGGAAAGAACCAAAACAUGAAUCUAUCGUGUAGGCUGCAACUGCAAACGACCAGAAUAGUGAAGACCUGCUCCUGACCCACCAAGGCACCAAUCGAAAGGAGAUCCGACAUUGCCCAAUUUCUGCAAUCGGGAUCACCACAUGUCCAGCUUAAAAAAGAUGAUGAAUUUACUGUUUUGGAUGCAGCUAACAGCGUUACCACGGAAUGAAUCCGCAACACCUGAGCUAAAUUACGCGAAUUUGCAAGCACAGGAAAAUGAGCAAAAUGUGCGCCAACCACCAAUC
RNAcentral lists this long non-coding RNA (507 nucleotides) under Hordeum vulgare. Its description in RNAcentral is "long non-coding RNA (HVUL_LNC018184)". The record is from RNAcentral. Lineage: Eukaryota; Viridiplantae; Streptophyta; Magnoliopsida; Poales; Poaceae.